Long non-coding RNA from Thamnophis sirtalis, 552 nucleotides. RefSeq lists it as uncharacterized. The record is from RefSeq and is a predicted model, not a curated record. NCBI's taxonomy places the organism in Eukaryota, Metazoa, Chordata, Lepidosauria, Squamata, Natricidae.
CACCGCCCACCCCCGGAAAGCAGGCAUGCAGGCAUGCAGGGCUGCUGCCGCCCCCCUCAGCCGAGCUCAUGAAGCCAGGAGACAUGGUCCUUCAAUGUUGUGACAAUAAAUUUAUGGACCAGUUAUUCAAUGGUGUGAAGAUCUGGUGUCACUGGUGAGGAUGAAGAUGUUCCCUACAGAUAUACAUUAGGUAUGGACAAGAUAUGGUCAUUUCAAAAGUUGUACAAAACAUUUGUCAACUUCAAACUGAACCUGGCUGCAGCCAUUUUUCUGUUCCUCGGUUGCCACACGGGGAAGGGGGGAAGGAGGUUGGAAUCCAUAAGACACAACAAAGAAGUUUCUCAUGAGAACCAAGGUCAUCUCUACUGGCAACAGUUAAGGUUGGGAAAGGAGUAGCUGAAGUACCCAAUUGGCCAACGUGACCUGUAACACUUGGAGCUGGGGUUAUUUCCUAGUUUAAUUAUACUGAAACUGCGGGAAAGAUUGAGAUUUGGUUUUCCAUUCAAGCUGUGCUGAUAUGAUGUACUCAUUAAAAAAGACCUUUGAGAAGAA